Molecule: long non-coding RNA, 595 nt
Organism: Engraulis encrasicolus (European anchovy)
Lineage: Eukaryota; Metazoa; Chordata; Actinopteri; Clupeiformes; Engraulidae
Exons: 3
Source: RefSeq, a predicted model, not a curated record
CCUGGAUACGAGGCUACGGGUGUGCGUUUUUGCGCCAAAGGUCUUUCUACCAGCAAAACAAAAUAGCAGGACAGAAGUGACAGCGUCAGAAAGAAAACAAUGCUGUUCCGAUUGCUGAUGGAGACAACAGAGAAAGACAGGAGAAGGUCAAGACUCAAGAGCUGGACUUUCCAUGACGUCCUCAAUCGACCCCUGUGAAUAGCAGCCCACCGUUGACCAGCCAUCAGUAUCUACUGUGCAGUCAUUUCCUGACCCGGUUUCUCACUAGCCCUUCGCAGACGAACACUACCACGAUGAAGACGGUCGUCUGGAUAAUACUUCGGUUUGGCACCGGCAUGGUCUACCACAAAGAUAGACGCCAGACCUUCUGAAAGGACCUAAUGGACUGAGUGCUGGAAAGAAGACAACCCUUCUAUAGAAUAAACUGAGUGUAACAAACACUCCACCACGAAAACUCUCCACUCCAGUCCCAAGAACAGACAUGUAUGUUUUAGUGUCAUGACGGAGCAAUCAUUUCGGAAGGUCCUAAACCCUAUUUAUCUAACAUACUUUCUGAUGUUUGAUAGUGACAUCUUGGUUACCCAAUAUGACAUUU